GAGUUUGAUCCUGGCUCAGAUUGAACGCUGGCGGCAGGCCUAACACAUGCAAGUCGAGCGGCAGCGACUUAACUGAACCUUCGGGGAACGUUAAGGGCGGCGAGCGGCGGACGGGUGAGUAAUGCCUGGGAAUAUGCCCUGAUGUGGGGGAUAACUAUUGGAAACGAUAGCUAAUACCGCAUAAUCUCUUCGGAGCAAAGAGGGGGACCUUCGGGCCUCUCGCGUCAGGAUUAGCCCAGGUGGGAUUAGCUUGUUGGUGAGGUAAUGGCUCACCAAGGCAACGAUCCCUAGCUGGUCUGAGAGGAUGAUCAGCCACACUGGAACUGAGACACGGUCCAGACUCCUACGGGAGGCAGCAGUGGGGAAUAUUGCACAAUGGGGGAAACCCUGAUGCAGCCAUGCCGCGUGUGUGAAGAAGGCCUUCGGGUUGUAAAGCACUUUCAGUAGGGAGGAAGGUAGUGUAGUUAACACCUGCAUUAUUUGACGUUACCUACAGAAGAAGCACCGGCUAACUCCGUGCCAGCAGCCGCGGUAAUACGGAGGGUGCGAGCGUUAAUCGGAAUUACUGGGCGUAAAGCGCAUGCAGGCGGCCUGUUAAGUCAGAUGUGAAAGCCCGGGGCUUAACCUCGGAAUUGCAUUUGAAACUGGCAGGCUAGAGUCUUGUAGAGGGGGGUAGAAUUUCAGGUGUAGCGGUGAAAUGCGUAGAGAUCUG
This 712-nucleotide ribosomal RNA is filed under the name Photobacterium damselae subsp. damselae. RNAcentral describes it as "bacterial SSU rRNA". It matches the Rfam family "Bacterial small subunit ribosomal RNA", at positions 9 to 700 of the family's 1533-position model. Lineage: Bacteria; Pseudomonadati; Pseudomonadota; Gammaproteobacteria; Vibrionales; Vibrionaceae. The record is from RNAcentral.